AACACAUGGGACAAAUGCCAUCCACAUCCGGACCACACCUAGGGCAGCCUGUGGACAGCCCCCAGAACUAUAGCUGAGGGUCCCACCCUUCCCACCCACGCACACUUUCUGAACACUCUGCUCCAGGCAAAGGGUACCUGAGUGCAGCAGCAGGGCCGUUGGAGCAGCUUUCUCAGGGCUGUCAGCAGUGACCCAGGGAGACCUCCCUCACAGCCUACUUCCUUGUUCCUGAGCAGAGCUAUCCAAUGGAAGUACCCAGAGCCCACACACUCCCUACAGAUUUUUAUGUUGGACAUAAAACAAUGAACAGAGACUAAUGUUGCCCUAGAUGUACCAAGCCUCCUAUAGAGAUUUGUACUGUUUCCUUUCUUGCCUUCUUCUUUCCCUCCUUCCCUCUCCCAGCCAAACAUGAAGCACCCACUAUAUGCAAACAUCAGGCUGGGGCCAGUAGGGGAAACCAUAUCUGUGAACAGGUAAUUCUCAUACGCAGCAGAAUAAGACAGGGGCUGAAUAUCGGGACACACAUCGUGCUCCCCUGUCCAGAGGCUGAUUCAUUCCAGCUGCUGAGAUCAGGGAAGGUUUCAUUCAGGCGGGGCCCUUGCUUUGAGAGAGAAGCAGAAUUUAAAGUGCAGAGUGGGGAGGCUGGGGUGAAGGCCGGGAGUGGCCUCUCCUGGCCAAUCCUGACUGUUCUGCCACUGGGAACCUUGGUCAGGAGGGAGCCCAGGGCAGAGCGGAUGGUGGGGUUGGGAAAAACAGCCGCAGGGCCAGCAAAACAA
This 776-nucleotide long non-coding RNA is filed under the name Homo sapiens (human). RNAcentral's name for it is "HSALNT0022271". The record is from RNAcentral. Lineage: Eukaryota; Metazoa; Chordata; Mammalia; Primates; Hominidae.